Molecule: ribosomal RNA, 506 nt
Filed under: uncultured bacterium
Lineage: Bacteria
Description: bacterial SSU rRNA
Rfam family: Bacterial small subunit ribosomal RNA
Source: RNAcentral
CAGGACGAACGCUGGCGGCGUGCCUAACACAUGCAAGUCGAGCGGGGACAUACGACGGAGUCAAAGUUUCGGAUGGAGACGAAGAUGUAUGUUCUAGCGGCGGACGGGUGAGUAACGCGUGAGCAACCUGUCCCUUACAGGGGGAUAACACAGCGAAAGUUGUACUAAUACCGCAUGAGACCACGGGUAGACAUCUACCAGGGGUCAAAGGAGCAAUCCGGUAAGGGGUGGGCUCGCGUCCGAUUAGAUAGUUGGUGAGGUAACGGCCCACCAAGUCGACGAUCGGUAGCCGACCUGAGAGGGUGAUCGGCCACAUUGGGACUGAGACACGGCCCAAACUCCUACGGGAGGCAGCAGUGGGGAAUAUUGGGCAAAUGGGGGAAACCCUGACCCAGCAACGCCGCGUGAGGGAAGAAGGUUUUCGGAUCGUAAACCUCUGUCCUUGGUGAAGAGGAAGAGACGGUAGCCAAGGAGGAAGCCCCGGCUAACUACGUGCCAGCCGCGGC